ACCCGUGUAGCCCAAUUGGCAGAGGCACCUGACUUAGGAUCAGGUUGGUGAAGGUUCGAAUCCUUUCAUGGGUA
RNAcentral lists this transfer RNA (74 nucleotides) under marine bacterium AO1-C. It matches the Rfam family "tRNA". Rfam says of the family: Transfer RNA (tRNA) molecules are approximately 80 nucleotides in length. Lineage: Bacteria; Pseudomonadati; Bacteroidota; Cytophagia; Cytophagales; Cytophagaceae. The record is from Rfam by way of RNAcentral.